RNAcentral lists this transfer RNA (69 nucleotides) under Ovis aries (sheep). It matches the Rfam family "tRNA". Rfam says of the family: Transfer RNA (tRNA) molecules are approximately 80 nucleotides in length. Lineage: Eukaryota; Metazoa; Chordata; Mammalia; Artiodactyla; Bovidae. The record is from Rfam by way of RNAcentral.
CCUGGUGGCUCAGAUGGUAAAGCAUCUGCCUGCAAUGCAGGAGACCAGGGUUCCAUCCCCAGGUCAGGA